UUUCAGUUUUUUUGAAACUGUCAGUGUCAAAAAAAACGAAAAUGGGUCGAUUUGUCGAAACGAGGGAAAGGUGUUCUGUCGCCCAUGUUUCGUUUCAAAUUAUAUUAUUUGAAACGAUCGUUCCCGAUCGUUCCCGAUUGUUCGCGAUACAGAGAGGAGAGCAGGGAGGAAAGGAGAGAGAACAAACGUCUCACAUCCAUGCUCGAACUGCGAUUUCUCCACCUCAGAUACAGAGAUCAAGCUACCCAAAUUGUUGGUUUCGAACAUCUUUUGGAACUCGCAUAGGGAGAGGAGAGACUGAGAAACAGGAGCCCUAAGCCCCCUUGUGAAAUCUCCUCUACACUACCUUCGUUUCACAUCGCUGUGAAGAAACCCCUAGACCCGACGAUUUUGGCUAAAAUCCUCUCAACAUCGGUAGUGCGAGUCAGCUGGAACCCUUUUGGUGAAAUUUCUGCUCACCAUCUCUCUCGUCUCUCAGAUCUUACAGCUAUUAUGUCUGGAAGUAGCAUCCCUGCCAUUAAGUGGUCAGAAUUUGAGACCACUGUUUUCAUUGAAGCAAUGAAAGAAGCUGUAAUAAAUGGUCACAAAUCCGGUAAUUCAUUUAACAAAACUGGAUGGG
Molecule: long non-coding RNA, 619 nt
Organism: Macadamia integrifolia
Lineage: Eukaryota; Viridiplantae; Streptophyta; Magnoliopsida; Proteales; Proteaceae
Exons: 3
Source: RefSeq, a predicted model, not a curated record